UGCCAGCCGCCGCGGUAAUACGGGGGGUGCAAGCGUUAUCCGGAUUCACUGGGUUUAAAGGGUGCGUAGGCGGACUGAUAAGUCAGUGGUGAAAUCUCAUGGCUCAACCAUGGAAUUGCCAUUGAAACUAUUAGUCUUGAGUUCAGUUGAUGUGGGCGGAAUAUAGCAUGUAGCGGUGAAAUGCGCAGAUAUGCUAUAGAACACCAAUUGCGAAGGCAGCUCACAAAACUGUUACUGACGCUGAGGCACGAAAGCGUGGGGAGCAAACAGGAUUAGAUA
This 279-nucleotide ribosomal RNA is filed under the name uncultured bacterium. RNAcentral describes it as "partial 16S ribosomal RNA". It matches the Rfam family "Bacterial small subunit ribosomal RNA", at positions 506 to 784 of the family's 1533-position model. The record is from RNAcentral.